This is a long non-coding RNA of Wyeomyia smithii (pitcher-plant mosquito), 2483 nucleotides long. RefSeq lists it as uncharacterized. Lineage: Eukaryota; Metazoa; Arthropoda; Insecta; Diptera; Culicidae. The transcript is spliced from 3 exons. The record is from RefSeq and is a predicted model, not a curated record.
UGACACUGAUUUGGUUCCUUUGGUUUCAUCUUUGCGGGACUCUUAUUAUAAACAUAGACUCUGCUAGAAGCAGAUGCAGAAAAACAACAAAAUGUUGCUUCCGUUGUGGACAGGAACAAUAUUUAAUAGUUUAUUCGCACACAUCGUUCACACUUAUGCAAAAUUUCGCCGUUGUCCGUACGAGUUAAAGUGAGCGAAAAAGAUUAUCUCUCAAUUUUCUAACAAUUUUAAAGAGGAUUUCGUGUGAGAGCGAACAAGCAUCACAUCGAACUGCAAGUUGAAGUGAUUUAGUGUUGAUUUCUCGAUGAUUACCACUUUCCAAUGAAAUGAUCUUGCGUUGAAAACUGGUUAAUGAAAAUCACCAUCGUAUUAUAAUGAAUAUCUCUUGUAUUAUCACCACUGUUUAAAUCAAUUGAAUUACAGCUGCAAUUCCAAUUGACAAACGUCAAAACCAUGAGACGAAACAAAAAUAGUGACGAUGGCGAACAGCGUAAGCAGCUUAUUUAGCCAGAGAUCAAAAAUUUAUUUGAGCCUGCUCAUGAAAUGCCAGAGCGACAGACCAAAGAAAAUCUGCAACGUGUGAUCGACGAAGAGAUCAAAAUUUUUGGAAUCGACUACAAACAGCUAUUGGCGAUCACAAGUAAUAACGGCCCGAAUAUUUUAGCAGCUGUUCGAUUUUUGAAAUCUCUAAUGGGCGAUGCCUUGGAAGGUUCUCUGGGUAGUGUUCUUCGCAAAGAAUACUCUCUUGUUAUGAACUUUUGUACUGCCGACGAUCCUGAUAUAUCAGAGCCCACUGAAACCAAACCACACGAGGAGGAAGAACACAUACCGGAAUCCGAGUUGGUCAUGAUUCCAGAAAACGAUGAUUUCGUGGAAGAACCUGCAAACGGUACUGCAAUUGAUGACUCACAGUUGGAAGACGAUCAAGAUGACCAGAUCAUAAACGUGGAUAUUAUGGAGAGCGUGAGAUGCGGAGCUCACACAGCUCAGUUGGCUGUUUGGGACGUUCUACAAGAAUACAACACUCGGCUCUCGAAUCUAAACAAAAAAUGCUUGAGGAUGUAUCUCAAAGCCAAUCGCCAACUUUUCACCUUCCAUAAAACAGCUUUACCACCGAAAACAUGCGAAACUCGAUGGAACGUAUGGUAUCUACUGAUGCGCUACCUCAAGGAAUUUGAAGUAGGGAUGGGAAUCGAAAGCGAAGGUAUCGAUAUUUGGUAUCGCGAUAUAUUGAAACGAUCCGAUACCAAGUAACAACUGUAUCGCAAUGAAAGUAUCGAUACUUCAAUAUUAUCGCAAUAUCGAAACGGGUGAACGGUCUGCAAAACGCAGAUUUUUGGAGUCCGUGUGCAGAUUUUUAGUGAUUUGCAGAUAUUUGCAGUUUUCCACGGUUUCUGCCGAUUUUUGUCUGAUUCUCCUUAUAUUUGCGCAGAUUUAUACAGACUUUUGCCUGCGCGAGCGAAAUUUUUUCGGAUCACGGGUAGAUUUUUUUUCAGAUUUCGAGCACAUUUUUCCGGUUUUCCCAGCAGUUGCAGACAUUUUUCAAAAACAUCUGGCAUCUCUGGGGUGAAGUGACAAACGAGAAAACGAACGAAACCGUGGUAGAUUUCAUUUGACGAGGCAAAUAGCGGGAGAAGAACGCUAAUACUACUAGUAUGCCAUUAUAAACUAAAUUAAACUAAACUUAAGUUGGUGUGAAGUAGCGGCAGGAAAUGGCACCGCAAGGACAAACAUUGUGCGAAUGCAACUUCUGUGGGAACAGCUACAAUGGCAAGCUUCAAUGAAACGACCAACUUGACUGAUUGUCAACAGCUACGACAGGUGGAUGCCUUUGCAAGCAAUUGAACCACACAAGAAACCUAAGCUCGAUGAAGGAACAACGACGACUGUAACUCCUGGGACGUUUGGAAUCGUGAGCAGGAAAGCAUCUACACCACUCAAACCUCGUAUGAAGCGGGUGAAUCUGCACAGUACGCAAUAUGCUGUUUUACCUGGAGCAGGAGAAAAAAUGCUGCAGAAGUCAAAUGCUGUACGGGGCCUACCUCAAGUGAUCGAUUGUGGUGCGAACAGCGGUGAUAAUCGGGGUGGUCAUUCUGCACCGAGAAACAAACGACGCUUUCGGACUAUGCUAGAGUAGUCAGCCUAUACACCAGAGAGGCGUCAAGACACUCACUGUUAAGGCAACUGUCAACAUCAAAACGGGCGAGCUGUAUGAAUUUGCAUUACCGUUAUACGUUUUGGUGUGGCAGUUGCCUUAACGGUGGGUGUCUUGUUAAUUCUCUAAUAUACAGUUUUCUAUACACAAUGCUGCAAAUCGAAACGUUGCUGAGAAUUGAACUAUCAAUAAGACAUAGGAAUUUGCUAGGAUUGUAUUUUUAUUCUGUUUGGUGUGCAAGAAAAUAAUCUACAUUUAGUAUUUAGUAGUAGAAGGCCGUGUGUAAUUUCAGACAAAAGGUUUAUAAAUAGACUGUUUUAAAUUAUUA